This 775-nucleotide ribosomal RNA is filed under the name uncultured Neocallimastigales. RNAcentral describes it as "partial large subunit ribosomal RNA". It matches the Rfam family "Eukaryotic large subunit ribosomal RNA", at positions 20 to 629 of the family's 3401-position model. Lineage: Eukaryota; Fungi; Neocallimastigomycota; Neocallimastigomycetes; Neocallimastigales. The record is from RNAcentral.
CAUCACUACGCUAGAUGCAUAUCAAUAAGCGGAGGAAAAGAAACUAACUAGGAUUCCCUCAGUAACGGCGAGUGAAGCGGGAAGAGCUCAAAUUUGAAAUCUUCAAGGUUUUACCUUGACGAAUUGUAGUUUAAAGAAGUGUUUUCUGUUGGUGUUUUGGUAAAAGUUCUUUGGAAUAGGGCAUCAUAGAGGGUGAGAAUCCCGUAUUUGACCAUUACUUCCAGCGUUGUGAUACACUUUCAAAGAGUCGGAUUGUUUGGGAAUGCAGUCCAAAAUGGGUGGUAAAUUUCAUCUAAAGCUAAAUAUUGGCGAGAGACCGAUAGCGAACAAGUACCGUGAGGGAAAGAUGAAAAGAACUUUGAAAAGAGAGUUAAACAGUACGUGAAAUUGUCAAAAGGGAAGCGUUUGGCACCAGUGUUGUUUUCUCGAAAAUCAAUUAAAAAUGAUGGGAUUUUGUGUUGUAUUGACUUUAUCAGCUUUCUGCACUUUUUUCUUAUCUUUUUUAAUGCACUUUUCGUUUAACAAGUCAACAUCAAUUUCUUUUGUUGUAAAAGAGUCAUUGGAAGGUGGCUUUUUGCUUCGGAAAAAGUGUUUAUAGCCUUUGGCUUCUGCAAUCGGAGAGAUUGAGGUCUGCAGCGUAGAUCCUUCGGGGUUAGAUACAUUUGUGCUAAGCUAUAGUUCUUUAUAGACAACUUGUUGACUAUAAUCAAUCCUGUAACUUACUCGCUUAUGCUAUUUUACCUACGCUUAGGAUGUUGAUAUGCAUGACUGAUAU